UUCCCACCUGAGAUGAGGUUGAACCUUAUGAAAUUGCCGGCAGCCAAUCAAGUUCGAACUACCAAACGAGCGAGUCCCUUUGGAGCCUGUCCCGUGCUGCUGGUAGAGGACGGAGGUGCGGGGACCUCCUACCUCUGGCUGGGCGAACCCCUCGGGACAGAUGUGCAAGAAAGACGGCAGGACUGAUGAGUCCCGCCGGGGACAUCAGAGUGAGAACCUGAUGAGCUCCAGUUCCGACGGGUCACUGGGGACAGCAGCAGAAGUUUCUUUUUCCAGGCUCCAUCCAAGGGACGGGACUCUGUGUCUUUGACCAGGAUAGCCCUCAGUUCUUGCCGUCUCUUGGGCAACCUGUGGCCUCUCCUAGGGGACCGGAAGUGACAGCUGAGACUGGUUUUGUGACGCGCCGUCACAGGAAUCUGAGAGCAUAGAGGCUUUGAGGUUGGCGGUAAUGACCCGCCUCACGGCCUGACGGGGAGGGUGCGCGAGGUAGCGCAUGGAACAAGGUCGGCACAGAGCCGGGCGCUCAGAAGGCACGCUGCGCGGCGGCUGUGGUUGGCCUCGUUGAUUGUUCUGUAGCCUGUUAAUUCCUAAGACUGGGAUACAAAUUCGACGGUUUGCAGGGUGCCUGACGGAAUCUGUUUUUUCAGGAGUAGACGGGAAGGAGGCAUUGGGAGUUGCAGGGCACUUACCUAAGCCAGGCGCCCUGGGAAUCGCCGGACACACGCCGUCUCAGAAUCUUCUCGAACAGCUCUGGAGAACACGAUGCCCGUUUUACAGAUGCAGAGACUGAGGUCCAGGGAUGAGCUUGCUCAAGGUCGCUCAGCUGAUUUCCAUUUGCUAGAUGCGAAUAGUGAGUCUCAGAGUGGUUAAGAGGCUUCUUCUCCGAGCUUACUCAGCUGGCCACCAUCAAGUGGAACUUGAACUCUUCCCCGGUGGCCCCCCGGUGCUCAGCCGUCUUCGGGAUUUCACCUUGAACCUCUGAACCCAAAGGCUUGCCUGACAGCAGGCCGCUCUUUGGCUUCUGGCUUCCCAGUUGGGAGAGGAGGAAGCAGGGGCCCUCCCUCUGACCCACCCAGCCACCCACCCGAGGUACCAUUAAAGUUAAUUGUUUUUACUGCCAGUU
Long non-coding RNA from Leopardus geoffroyi (Geoffroy's cat), 1123 nucleotides. RefSeq lists it as uncharacterized. NCBI's taxonomy places the organism in Eukaryota, Metazoa, Chordata, Mammalia, Carnivora, Felidae. The transcript is spliced from 3 exons. The record is from RefSeq and is a predicted model, not a curated record.